This 253-nucleotide ribosomal RNA is filed under the name uncultured bacterium. RNAcentral's name for it is "partial 16S ribosomal RNA". It matches the Rfam family "Bacterial small subunit ribosomal RNA", at positions 524 to 776 of the family's 1533-position model. The record is from RNAcentral.
UACGUAGGGGGCUAGCGUUGUCCGGAUUUAUUGGGCGUAAAGCGCGUGUAGGCGGCCAGGUAGGUCCGUUGUGAAAACUCGAGGCUCAACCUCGAGACGUCGACGGAAACCAUCUGGCUAGAGUCCGGAAGAGGAGAGUGGAAUUCCUGGUGUAGCAGUGAAAUGCGUAGAGAUGUGGAGGAACACCGAUGGCGAAAGCAGCCCCCUGGGCUAACACUGACGCUCAUGCACGAAAGCGUGGGGAGCAAACAGG